RNAcentral lists this long non-coding RNA (212 nucleotides) under Capsicum annuum. RNAcentral describes it as "long non-coding RNA (CANN_LNC014210)". Lineage: Eukaryota; Viridiplantae; Streptophyta; Magnoliopsida; Solanales; Solanaceae. The record is from RNAcentral.
ACCCCCGGCUCAAGGCACAAGAUAUCACACAAACACAUAGUAAAGCACAGAAGCAGAUGACAUAACAUAAAUACGGCACCCAUAAGGAAUAUAAAACAGAGGAAAGAAGAGGAAAGCACACAGAUUCGUAAUAAGCAUGGAACACUGAAUACGGAAUCAUAACGGGAAUAAAAAAUAAAAAAUAAAAAAAACCCCACCAAGUAAUUCCCUAC